GUUUAAAUAGCUUAAAUAUAAAGCAUAGUAUUGAAGCUACUAAGAUAGUUAGCAAACUUUUGAACA
This 66-nucleotide transfer RNA is filed under the name Chasmoptera huttii. RNAcentral describes it as "tRNA-Phe". Lineage: Eukaryota; Metazoa; Arthropoda; Insecta; Neuroptera; Nemopteridae. The record is from RNAcentral.